Molecule: ribosomal RNA, 409 nt
Filed under: uncultured bacterium
Lineage: Bacteria
Description: bacterial SSU rRNA
Rfam family: Bacterial small subunit ribosomal RNA
Source: RNAcentral
AUUGAACGCUGGCGGCGUGCUUAACACAUGCAAGUCGUGCGGUAACAGGCGUAGCAAUACGUGCUGACGAGCGGCGAACGGGUGCGUAAUACAUGGGAAUCUGCCCUUUAGUGGGGAAUAACCCGGCGAAAGCCGGGUUAAUGCCGCAUAAGAUCUUCGGAUGAAAGCGGGGGAUCGUAAGACCUCGCGCUGAUGGAUGAGCCCAUGUCGGAUUAGCAGUUGGUGAGGUAACGGCUCACCAAGGCGACGAUCCGUAGCUGGUCUGAGAGGACGGCCAGCCACACUGGGACUGAGACACGGCCCAGACUCCUACGGGAGGCAGCAGUGGGGAAUAUUGGACAAUGGGCGAAAGCCUGAUCCAGCGACGCCGCGUGUGUGAAGAAGGCCUGCGGGUUGUAAAGCACUUUCG